This 490-nucleotide ribosomal RNA is filed under the name uncultured bacterium. RNAcentral describes it as "partial 16S ribosomal RNA". It matches the Rfam family "Bacterial small subunit ribosomal RNA", at positions 30 to 507 of the family's 1533-position model. The record is from RNAcentral.
AUUGAACGCUGGCGGCAGGCCUAACACAUGCAAGUCGAACGGUAACAGGAAGAAGCUUGCUUCUUUGCUGACGAGUGGCGGACGGGUGAGUAAUGUCUGGGAAACUGCCUGAUGUAGGGGGAUAACUACUGGAAACGGUAGCUAAUACCGCAUAAUGUCGCAAGACCAAAGAGGGGGACCUUCUGGCCUCUUGCCAUCUGAUGUGCCCAGAUGGGAUUAGCUAGUAGGUGGGGUAACGGCUCACCUAGGCGACGAUCCCUAGCUGGUCUGAGAGGAUGACCAGCCACACUGGAACUGAGACACGGUCCAGACUCCUACGGGAGGCAGCAGUGGGGAAUAUUGGACAAUGGGCGCAAGCCUGAUGCAGCUAUGCCGCGUGUAUGAAGAAGGCCUUCGGGUUGUAAAGUACUUUCAGCGGGGAGGAAGGGAGUAAAGUUAAUACCUUUGCUCAUUGACGUUACCCGCAGAAGAAGCACCGGCUAACUCCGUG